GACGAACGCUGGCGGCGUGCUUAACACAUGCAAGUCGAGCGGUAAGGCCCUUUCGGGGGUACGACGAGCGGCGAACGGGUGAGUAACACGUGGGUGACCUGCCCUCAGCUCUGGGAUAAGCCUGGGAAACCGGGUCUAAUACUGGAUAUGACUCCAUGACGCAUGUUGUGGGGUGGAAAGCCUUGUGCGGCUAAGGAUGGGCCCGCGGCCUAUCAGCUUGUUGGUGGGGUGAUGGCCUACCAAGGCGACGACGGGUAGCCGGCCUGAGAGGGCGACCGGCCACACUGGGACUGAGACACGGCCCAGACUCCUACGGGAGGCAGCAGUGGGGAAUCUUGCGCAAUGGGCGAAAGCCCGACGCAGCGACGCCGCGUGAGGGAUGACGGCCUCGGUUGUAACGUA
Molecule: ribosomal RNA, 402 nt
Filed under: uncultured bacterium
Lineage: Bacteria
Description: bacterial SSU rRNA
Rfam family: Bacterial small subunit ribosomal RNA
Source: RNAcentral